GUAGGGAAUCUUCCACAAUGGACGCAAGUCUGAUGGAGCAACGCCGCGUGAGUGAAGAAGGGUUUCGGCUCGUAAAGCUCUGUUGGUAGUGAAGAAAGAUAGAGGUAGUAACUGGCCUUUAUUUGACGGUAAUUACUUAGAAAGUCACGGCUAACUACGUGCCAGCAGCCGCGGUAAUACGUAGGUGGCAAGCGUUGUCCGGAUUUAUUGGGCGUAAAGCGAGUGCAGGCGGUUCAAUAAGUCUGAUGUGAAAGCCUUCGGCUCAACCGGAGAAUUGCAUCAGAAACUGUUGAACUUGAGUGCAGAAGAGGAGAGUGGAACUCCAUGUGUAGCGGUGGAAUGCGUAGAUAUAUGGAAGAACACCAGUGGCGAAGGCGGCUCUCUGGUCUGCAACUGACGCUGAGGCUCGAAAGCAUGGGUAGCGAACAGG
RNAcentral lists this ribosomal RNA (430 nucleotides) under uncultured bacterium. Its description in RNAcentral is "bacterial SSU rRNA". It matches the Rfam family "Bacterial small subunit ribosomal RNA", at positions 354 to 776 of the family's 1533-position model. The record is from RNAcentral.